Molecule: ribosomal RNA, 253 nt
Filed under: uncultured bacterium
Lineage: Bacteria
Description: partial 16S ribosomal RNA
Rfam family: Bacterial small subunit ribosomal RNA
Source: RNAcentral
UACAGAGGUCCCAAGCGUUGUUCGGAUUCAUUGGGCGUAAAGGGUGCGUAGGUGGCGUGGUAAGUCGGGUGUGAAAUCCCGGGGCUCAACCCCGGGACUGCAUUCGAUACUGCCGUGCUUGAGGACUGGAGAGGAGACUGGAAUUUACGGUGUAGCAGUGAAAUGCGUAGAGAUCGUAAGGAAGACCAGUGGCGAAGGCGGGUCUCUGGACAGUUCCUGACACUGAGGCACGAAGGCCAGGGGAGCAAACGGG